Momordica charantia (bitter melon) is the source of this 2951-nucleotide non-coding RNA. The record is from RefSeq and is a predicted model, not a curated record. Lineage: Eukaryota; Viridiplantae; Streptophyta; Magnoliopsida; Cucurbitales; Cucurbitaceae.
CUUGAGGGGAAAAAAAAAAAUUAUCGCGAAAACUUCUGCCUCGCCCCCAAAGUCCUUGAACCCUUUUUCGCCCGUAGUUACUUCCUCACUCUUCUUCUUCUUCUUCUUCUCCCUCCCAUUCACUCUGCAAAUUGCAAUGGAGAUGGCCCAAAUAUCCGCUCUGAAGAUUUAGCUUAGUUCGCUCGUAUAUUCUCCUUUCCCCACAAUCUAGGGUUACCAUCGCCUGUUUGUGCCGGAAGCUCUCUUCUUUCAUGGGUAGGAGUAGAAGCCGGAGUUGGAGUAGAAGCCGGAGUAGAAGUAGAAGUCCUCCUCAUAGUUUUAAACGAGACUCAGGAUUUAAUGAUAGAAACAGAAACAGAUCGCGUGUUUCAACUCAAUCGUGCAGAGAUUUUUCUUCUGGCAGAUGCCGGAGAGGUAACGGCUGUCAAUUUCUUCACCAGGAUAAUCAAAAUCUGGAUGAUAGCUGGGAAAAUAGGAACAGGAAGGGCCGAUCCCUAAGACCAACUCCCCAUGAUUUUAGGGACUACCCUAGGAGUGGAAGAUCGGCUGCUCAUUGUACCGAAUUUAUGAAGGGAAGGUGUCACAGGGGAGCAUCUUGCAAGUAUUCACACGAUAGUGCAUUUCAUGAACUGUCACGAGGUUCUCCAAAUGAUAUUAGUCGAGACAGGGAAAAUGAUAGGAAUAAAGAAGCAUACUUCUCACGUGGUGAGCGUGAACCUAGCAGUAGUAGUCUUGUUAUCUGCAAAUUUUUUGCUGCUGGAACUUGUCGUAAUGGAAAAAAUUGCAAGUAUUCUCAUCAUAGCCAGCCACGUGUCAGUCCAGAGAGGAAGUCGAGUACGGAUAGAUGGGAACAGGUUCAAUGUUCAGAUGGUAGGGAACGAUUGUGGGAUGGCUCAAAAUCAAGUGAAUUGGCUAGUGGUCCUAAUUUUGCUCAGUUGGGAGAGGAAAAAAACGAACAAAUUGCUAAUCAACAACCAAGAUAUCCAUGGUCUUCAGAACAAAAAUGGAGUCAUGGUUUGAAUAAUGAGAGCAAAAGUCAGUGGGAUCAAGCUGUUAGUAUCAAGGCAGUUCAGAGCAACAAGAAUGAUGCCGUUCUGUGCAAGGCAGAGGAUGGUGGUGGCUGUAUAGGAACUUCUGACCCUAGAGGUCAUGGAAAGUGGCCCAGUGAUGAUAUGGAGAUGUCUCCUGAUUGGCACUACCCUGUGCAACCAUCCAAUCCUGUGGUGAAAGGAGAUUGCAACAUCAUGCAGGAUUCUGGCUCUCAAACUUCCAUUGCUUUAGCCACUCUCAGCCAUGCGAUAGCACAAGAGGCUUUGGUUAAGAAGCAAGAUAUUGCCAUAGAGCCUAUAAUAGUUGAUAAUACUCAUUUUCGGCAGAACCAUAAUUUAACACAAGAUGUUACUAUUGCAUCAGCAUUCAAUGAUAAGAUUACAACUGAUAAAAAUAUUGCUUCUCAUGCUGAAGGCACUCCUUCUGGUAAAAUCAUCCAUGGACAAAGAAUGGUAUAUCACACCGACCAUCCAGGUGGAAAUGUAAUGAAUCUGAAAGUUGCAGAUGGAAAUUUCAGAGUCAAAUCACAAGAUGAGGAUGCAAGCAUUCCAACGGCAAUCAAGUCUGGAACAACAAUAACUCCAAGCAUAGUAACCAGUGAACAGAUUACCCAAUUAACUAACCUUUCAGUUUCUCUUGCCCAAUAUUUUGGAAAUGUGCAACCAUUGCCACAAUUAUAUGCCUCACUUAAUCCGCAUAAUGUGUCAGAGACAUCUUCCUUCCCUUAUUCUAAUGCACCAGUGGGUGCUUUGGGGGCAUCUAUGAAGUCAGGUCCUGUAAUUGAAGGCCUGAAGCAACAUGAUCCUACUUUAUGCAAUAACAUAGAGCUGAAGAAGCUCGAAGUCACUAAAACACCCUCAGAUUGUUUACUGAAUCCCACUGGGCAGAAAAGCGCUCCAGAUGGUAAAGAGGAAGUACAAAUAUCAAACUUGCCUCUAACAUCUGGCCCUGGUGACAAGACUGGCAUCUCUAGAAAAGAAACUCUUCAUGAGAGUGAUGUGAUAAAUCAUGGGAAGCCAGCAGCAGCUGGCAAGGCUAUAAAAGAGAAGAAUGAUGAUGGGGAUUUUGUGAACAAGACUGACCUAGGGGUGAAUGAGAAUUCUCAAGAGAAUGAUAUUACAGAAAAUGCAAAGGGAAAUGAUGGGGUCAAUGACAAGAAGAAAAGUAAAGAUGCUAAGGGAAUUCGUGCUUUUAAAUUUGAACUUGUGGAGUUCGUCAAGGAACUUCUAAAACCUACGUGGAAGGAAGGUCAUAUCAGCAAAGAUGUUUAUAAAACCAUAGUCAAGAAAGUGGUGGACAAAGUGACAGGUACCUUGCAGGGGGGUCAUAUUCCUCAAACGCAGGAGAAAAUCGAUCACUAUCUUUCAUUUUCAAAAUCAAAGCUCACUAAGCUUGUUCAGAGGGUUGGGCUCUUUGGGAGAAAAGGGUGCUCAUCAAAAACCUUAUUUUAAAGCAAAUCCCACCAUGGUCAUCUUGCAAGAAACUAAAAUGGCGUGAAUUGAUCGUUUUCCAAAGACAUAGGCUGGGUCUCUCUAGAUUAUACGGGAUAUCGGGUGGUAUCCUUUUGUGGAACAACUCAUCCUUCCAUAUCUCCAACAUUACCAAAGGCGUACGUGGACAGAGUUCCAAAGACAACUUAAGAAGUCGAGGCUGCCACGUACAUUCUUAUGUAUUUUUUUUUCUCACAUGUACUAAUUUGUUGGAAUGCUGCAGCCUUCUGAAUGAUAUUACCAUGUCUUACUCAUAUAAUGUAAUGUAUCUCCCAUUAGAUGUCUUAGGUACACCUUUUUCUCCAGCCUUUCUGCAAAUCAGAUAAGAUAUAUAUGGAAAUCUGUUAGUUUUAGUUUGUGCAUUCUUCAUCUUUUAUUGUUGAAUCAAUGGUUAUCACUUUUGAGGGACCA